Molecule: long non-coding RNA, 2412 nt
Organism: Anguilla rostrata (American eel)
Lineage: Eukaryota; Metazoa; Chordata; Actinopteri; Anguilliformes; Anguillidae
Exons: 3
Source: RefSeq, a predicted model, not a curated record
AAAGUUUGAAACUCGACAGCGUCACAGGGAACGGUUUGGUGUUUGCUUAACUCACUAACUAGCUUGUUGUCCAGUUAUGAUUAUAUAGCCUUUUUCAAGUCAGGCCGUUGUCUAAUCACAUUUGCAUAAAUAUAGAAGAUUUGGUCAAUUUGGCUGCUUGACAGUUUCUGAAUAAGAUUACUAACAUUAGCUGGAAAAGCAAUUGAUUGACACUGAUUUUGCAACGAUUACUAUGGACCCUUUUGAGGAGAGCGGCUACAAAGGUUAGUUCAGCAUUACGUUUCAGCCGUUCGUUAACGUGUUUGCAGCCCGGGAUGGCUCGACGAUAGAAUAAUAAUUGACCUGGUGUUGUGCAGAGCAGAAGGAUAUUGAACAUAGUUAUAAUGAUGGUGAGUAUAACCCAUAGACCGUAUGAAAAUAUACGGUACGGUAUAACCGAAAUAAACGUGCAGAUUUUGGACAGUGGGACACAGAGUCAGUGAAUGGGGACAGCUAACCUCUCUGUUUGUGUGUAUAUAUAUAUAUAUAUAUAUAUAUAUAUAUGUAUAUGUUUUAGUUUUCUUUUUUUUUAAUGUAAUGGAACUAAAGAUCCCUGUGAGAUAGUGGACUCCCGGUAUACUCUUACCCAUAACUUAUAGCACACACACACACACAGAUACACGCAAUACCCUGCUGUACUGUACUGUAGACUUUUGAAGUACAGAGGGGAACCAUGGCAACACACUAAGCAGACAUUGUCUCAGCUCAGCACGUCUCCCUGAACCUGGCCACCUGGUUGCCAUAGUAACAGGUGUCCCAGGUCCAGAGUGUGAGGGAUCCGUGAGCCACUGACAUCCUCUUGUGGAUUCCUUCUUCCUCAGAACCUUUCCAGACUUUUUAAAAUAUGUAUGCGCUUUUCAACUCAUUCUAUUUUGCUGUAUUCAUUUAUCACGUUCUCUCUGCUUAACUGUACAUUAUUCAUAUUAAACAUGGAAAGGCUUGGCCAAUGGCACAGCUCCCUUGAUUGGUUAUUUUUAGGGGUGGGGGGAGUGGUAUGGUGGGGUAACAAACAAAGUCUAAGCACAUAGUUCCUGAAUACCUAAGACCAAGAAGGAUGUUUGUGAGAUACAAGACUUACAUUCACACGUGAAUGGACAGUGAAGCACACACUCAGACACAUACAUCUCUAUCGGGUGAGUUCCUGUUGCUCAGAAUGGAUUUCAACUUUUGUACUUUACCUUCAUUAACGUCAUGCUUGAGUCUGUUUAUGUAAAUGCAUUUUAUUUCUUAGAUGUACAGCAGUGCAUGUCAUAAUGAAGCAGUUCAACACACUGGAGCCACUGCAUAAGCCUAACACACAAAGCAGUGGUUCACUCAGUCACAACAGGAAAUAACUGGAACUCAUUUGAGCAUUUCUCCUGGCCUACAGUGCACAGAACGGGGACUGCAGGAUGGGGCUCCCUAUACCCCCCACACCCAACAUACACUGGCAGAGUGUCAGUUCCCUGUACUUAGCCUUACACCUUCUGAGGUUUGUGCUGUCCUGAGCUGAUAUGAGCAAUGCCAAACAAAUAUGAAAUUUGGAAUUUAUGUCUUAAUAUACCUUCACAGUUUACAUUUCCACAUAAUGAAGCAGUUCAGCAGACACUGGAGCCACUGCAUAAGCCUAACACAUAAAGCAGACCCCCCGCCCACCCCCAACAUACACUGACAGAGUGUCAGUUCCCCAUAAUUUGCCGUGCCGUUUGUGCCGUCCUGAGCUGAUAUGAGCAAUGCCAAACAAAUAUGAAAUAUGGAAUUUAUGUCUUAAUAUACCAUCACAGUUUACAUUUCCACAUAAGGCUGACUCUCUUUUUUCGUUUCACACCUAUUGUUAUAAAUUGUUACAAAGUCAAUUCAAUUUAUGAAUAAGCAAAGACAGGAUUCGCUAUGCUCUCAAGCGUAUAAAACAAACUUCACUGACGAACAGAUGAGAAGACUUUUGGCUAUAACCCCGAUGACACUGAGGCGCCGUCUGAUGGAAACUUCAGUUUUGAGCUGUCUUCAUUUGAAAUAUUCUUCAUCCACGCAGAAUAAUCGUCCUUUGACGGUCUUAACACUGGAGGUGGAGGGUUGAGAGGCAGGUAAGGAAUUUCGUAAAUACUACUCAAAUACCUCAGAAAUUACAGACACCGUACUCACAGUUCCACAAAGAGACUUACAUAAAUCCUUGAUGAGGACAGUCAGAGUAAAUUUUCUUCAUGCUCACAAUGUUGGCGCUGGGAAUUCUGCCUUUAAAAAAUUUGAAACAGCAUCUUUCGGGGCUGUCGUGUGACUUACGUAGGCCAUCGGCAUGAUGCGGCACGAUGCCAUACAGCAGGAGGGCCAGACAGAUGGAGAUCUUCAGCAUACUGAUGACUCGAUGACUUCCUGAGUGAGCGUGUGUGAGUGGUC